GGGGGCCAGACUUAAAGAUACGGUGAGCAAGCUUAACUUGUAUUAAGAAGCCUAAAGUAUCUUAGGAGGCGUCCAC
Non-coding RNA from Legionella nautarum, 76 nucleotides. It matches the Rfam family "6S / SsrS RNA", at positions 59 to 133 of the family's 187-position model. Rfam says of the family: E. coli 6S RNA was the first non coding RNA to be sequenced, but its function was unknown until recently. It consists of 184 nucleotides that fold into an extended hairpin structure with a large single-stranded internal bulge. NCBI's taxonomy places the organism in Bacteria, Pseudomonadati, Pseudomonadota, Gammaproteobacteria, Legionellales, Legionellaceae. The record is from Rfam.